Molecule: ribosomal RNA, 253 nt
Filed under: uncultured bacterium
Lineage: Bacteria
Description: partial 16S ribosomal RNA
Rfam family: Bacterial small subunit ribosomal RNA
Source: RNAcentral
UACGUAGGGUGCAAGCGUUGUCCGGAAUUAUUGGGCGUAAAGAGCUCGUAGGCGGUCUGUCGCGUCGGCUGUGAAAUCCCGAGGCUCAACCUCGGGUCUGCAGUCGAUACGGGCAAACUGGAGUGGUGCAGGGGAGACUGGAAUUCCUGGUGUAGCGGUGAAAUGCGCAGAUAUCAGGAGGAACACCGGUGGCGAAGGCGGAUCUCUGGGCAUUUCCUGACGCUGAGGCGCGAAAGCGUGGGGAGCAAACGGG